GGGAAGGCAAGAAGUCGGCAUAGCUGUUUGAAAAUGAUAUACGGCUGUGUCACUUCGAGCCAGCUCAAUCCACCGGCUUUCUGCAUAAAGAAGAUUUGCGGACGCUGCCGUAACGUGAAAAUUCGGAUCGCUCCCGUAGCGGCGCGACUCCGGCCGGGAGAGGGCGCAUUGACAGCUGUCACUGGGCACUAUUUCGCUUUCUUCGCGGCCGGACGUGGGAGGAAAUCGUUUAUUUUUAUCACACACGACGAUGUUCCCGUAGAGUGCGACCGGCUGUGUACGUGCGUGACGAAACGAUCGAAAACAAGACGACAAAAUGCCGAACGAGGAGGUGUUGGGUCCGCGGAAGACGAUGUUCGUACUAGUGAUUGUUGUGGGAUGUUUCGCGGUGCUGUGGCCCAGGAUUCUGUCGCCGCUGAUCUUGGGCCACUCGCGGGACCAGCUCAAACCGAACGCGUUCGACCGGGAGGCAGCUGUAAAACAAGAGCGUCCUCUGAACCGCGGCGCAGGGCCGCAUCCAGCACUGCGAGAGCGGGGCCGCGCGAUUCCUCAGGGCGUGGCCCCCGCGAGACCCGCGACACCGAUGCCGCCCCACGUUCGGGUACGAUCCUCCCCGCUAUCAGUGUACUAUGAGCUGGACAUCAAGCCACCACCGAUCCCGGGCAUGCGGCCCCCGCUCGGCUCGCCCGGGGGUCCGGUGCCCACGCCCAAGUCGUCCAUGGGGUUCGUCAUGCCGAUCUACACGAUAUGCAUCAUAGUGUUCUUCGUGUACACACUUAGCAAGAUCCUGUUCAAGCGCACCGCGUCCCCCUACGAGCCUGUUAGUCCCGACCCCCACUUCAGGAGCAGGGUGUUCCGCGACGACUCCAGGACGUCGCCCGACAAGCUCGGGGAUGUUGAACUGGAGGCGCUGCGAGCGCGGCUUGCGGAGACUGAGCGCGCCAUGCAAAGGAUCGUCGGCCAACUGGCUCAGCGCGACGCGGAGGCCCAGGAUGAGCAGGCUCGCCCGUACACGAACGGUACAAUACUUCACAACACCGGCCCGGUGCAUAUCGUCGCCAGCGAAUACCAGGAAGUAUCCAAGGAAAAGACUCCUGAACCUCAGAGGGAAGUGCCAGAACCUUCACCUGAAGUGAAGGAACCUGCCCCUGAACCUGAAAAGCCUCUGUCAAAAGAAUCUUUAGAGACGAAAGAGUCUGAGGAAUUAGAGGCUGAAAAACAAGAAGAAUUGGUUCAAGAAAUACCUGCAACACAAUCUGAAGAAGCAGAGACGGACGAUGUUAAAGAAGAGAAGGGUCCAGAAGAAAAUGACUUAAAACUCGUUGCUGACGAUGAAGUGGACGAAAAUGGUGGCGAAGCUAAAUUCGAUAAAGAAGAAUCGGGUUCAGAGCCAGAGUUAAUAGAAAUUAAUAAUAAAGAGGAUGAACUGAUUAAAUUAACAAACGAUGACGUAGAAAGCGAUGACUACGUCAAAGUGGUACAGGAUUUCUUGAACGAGGAAGCUAAAAUAGACGUGAAAGAAGAGAAACAAUCGACUCCGGAUCUCCUGGAAGUAGCUAUUAAAGAGGACUCGCCUGAUAAACCUGAGGAUGACCAAGAAAAUGCUAGUGUAAAGGUGGUAGGCAUGGAGGUGACGGCGCACACGGCGGACGGCGGCGCGCUGCCCCGCGCUCCCCCGCCGCCCGCGCCCGCGCCUGCGCCCCAGCGCCCGCACGAGGCGGAGGAAGUGAAGUCGAUAUUCCUGGAGACGGAGAUUCCGCAGAAGUCUCGGGUCCUCGUCGCGGACUUCGUCGAAGACAGGCCCGAAGACUCCGCGCCCAGUAACAAUUCCCCAAUGGUGGUGAGCGGUAAAAUGACUUUGUCACUCAUACAGGACGCACCGAGAGACACUCCUGAGAAGGAUCCAGAAUCAACAGUGGAUGAUUUCACAACAGCCAGUGCAAUCACUCAACCCGCCGCUGAUAAACAAGUUGAAGAAGAGUCCGACGAAGAAAUAGAGAUCGAAGAAGAAAUAGAAGUGGAAGAGAUCGAGGAAGAGGAAGAAGUUGAGGAGAUUGAGGAAGACGAAGAGAACGAACCGGUGGAGGCGAAGAAACCAGAAGCAAAGGAACCAGUCAAAGUGCAAGAAGUAAAGGAAGCUGUUAAAGUACAGGAAGAAGUAAAACAAGCAGAAGAAGAUUCCGAAGAGGAGGUAGAAGUAAAUGAAGAUGAGGAACCAAUACAAGAUUCGAAAUUUGAACCGGUUAAAGAACUAGAUGCCGAUAAAGAAGAAGAAUAUUCUGAGGAAGAAAUUGAGGAAAAUGAGGAACCAGUGAAAGAGUCAGUUAAGGUAAAGGAACCGGUGAAAUUAAAAGAGCCAGUUAAAGGAAAACCAUCUGUAGAACAUUCAGAAGAUGAUAAGGAACAGAAGAAAGCGAAAGGAGAUAAAGAAUGAACUGAUAGGAAUUAACUUGUAGUGAGAGAAUGUUUGGUGGUUCUGUAAAGAAAAAUAUUAAACAAGUAAAAUGGAUUCAAAUAAAAAU
This 2522-nucleotide microRNA precursor is filed under the name Manduca sexta (tobacco hornworm). The stretch from base 1 to 74 matches the Rfam family "mir-31 microRNA precursor family". Lineage: Eukaryota; Metazoa; Arthropoda; Insecta; Lepidoptera; Sphingidae. The record is from RNAcentral.